UAAAGAAAGAAAGAAAGAAAGAAAGAAAAAAGUGGGGAAUGCGGCGGUGGGACUGUUGACGUUAAAUGACAAAACAGCACAUUUUUGCCCCGUUUUCUUUUUUUUCUUUCUUUUUUA
Molecule: microRNA precursor, 117 nt
Filed under: Trypanosoma vivax Y486
Lineage: Eukaryota; Euglenozoa; Kinetoplastea; Trypanosomatida; Trypanosomatidae
Source: RNAcentral